GAGUUUGAUCCUGGCUCAGAACGUACGCUGGCGGCACGCCUAACACAUGCAAGUCGAACGAAGUAGCAAUACUUAGUGGCAGACGGGUGAGUAACAUGUAGGUAUCUGCCCUUUGGCCUGGAAUAACACGAGGAAACUUGUGCUAAUACCGGAUAAGUCUUUACGGAGAAAGCUUUAUGCACCAUUGGAUGAGCCUGCACUUGAUUAGUUUGUUGGUGGGGUAAUGGCCUACCAAGACUGUGAUCAAUAGCUGAUUUGAGAGGAUGAUCAGCCACAUUGGGACUGAGACACGGCCCAAACUCCUACGGGAGGCAGCAGUGGGGAAUCUUGCACAAUGGAGGAAACUCUGAUGCAGCGAUGCCGCGUGAGUGAAGGAGGCCCUUGGGUUGUAAAGCUCUUUCGUCGGGGAAGAAAAUGACUGUACCCGAAUAAGAAGGUCCGGCUAACUUCGUGCCAGCAGCCGCGGUAAUACGAAGGGACCUAGCGUAGUUCGGAAUUACUGGGCUUAAAGAGUUCGUAGGUGGUUGAAAAAGUUAGUGGUGAAAUCCCAGAGCUUAACUCUGGAACUGCCAUUAAAACUUUUCAGCUAGAGUAUGAUAGAGGAAAGCAGAAUUUCUAGUGUAGAGGUGAAAUUCGUAGAUAUUAGAAAGAAUACCAAUUGCGAAGGCAGCUUUCUGGAUCAUUACUGACACUGAGGAACGAAAGCAUGGGUAGCGAAGAGGAUUAGAUCCCUCGUAGUCCAUGCCGUAAACGAUGUGUGUUAGACGUUGGAAAUUUAUUUUCAGUGUGCAGGAAACCGAUAAACACACCGCCUGGGGAGUACGACCGCAAGGUUAAAACUCAAAUGAAUUGACGGGGACCCGCACAAGUAGUGGAGCAUGUGGUUUAAUUCGAAGAUACGCGCAGAACCUUACCAACACUUGACAUGUUCGUCGCGACUCUAGAGAU
RNAcentral lists this ribosomal RNA (948 nucleotides) under uncultured bacterium. RNAcentral describes it as "bacterial SSU rRNA". It matches the Rfam family "Bacterial small subunit ribosomal RNA", at positions 9 to 1007 of the family's 1533-position model. The record is from RNAcentral.